Molecule: long non-coding RNA, 213 nt
Filed under: Mytilus galloprovincialis (Mediterranean mussel)
Lineage: Eukaryota; Metazoa; Mollusca; Bivalvia; Mytilida; Mytilidae
Source: RNAcentral
AGAAUAUGUAGAAUUAGUUGUUGGUAUUUCCAUUUUCCUGCUGUUUAAUCACUAUUUCCUUCUUAUAAAUGGCAGUCUGUUUGAAAAGCAUGGAUAAUAUCGUUUUAUUGUCGAGCCUGGGACUUCUGUCACAGAAAGCUGAACAUAGGGAUACUGAUCCGGUGCAUCAGCGUCAUGGAUAAUAUUAAAGCUUUAUAUUUUAGAAAGAAGCAG